RNAcentral lists this transfer RNA (69 nucleotides) under Rattus norvegicus (Norway rat). It matches the Rfam family "tRNA". Rfam says of the family: Transfer RNA (tRNA) molecules are approximately 80 nucleotides in length. Their secondary structure includes four short double-helical elements and three loops (D, anti-codon, and T loops). Further hydrogen bonds mediate the characteristic L-shaped molecular structure. tRNAs have two regions of fundamental functional importance: the anti-codon, which is responsible for specific mRNA codon recognition, and the 3' end, to which the tRNAs corresponding amino acid is attached (by aminoacyl-tRNA synthetases). tRNAs cope with the degeneracy of the genetic code in two manners: having more than one tRNA (with a specific anti-codon) for a particular amino acid; and 'wobble' base-pairing, i.e. permitting non-standard base-pairing at the 3rd anti-codon position. Lineage: Eukaryota; Metazoa; Chordata; Mammalia; Rodentia; Muridae. The record is from Rfam by way of RNAcentral.
GGGGAUUUGGCUCAGUGGUAGGGCACUUGCCUAGCAAGCACAAGGCCCUGGGUUCGGUCCCCAGCUCCG